AACAUCUCAACUCUCAUGGCUUGCCGUGAUGAGCUUGGACUUUGGGGGUCUUGCUGGCCUGUGGUCAGCUCCUCUCAAAUGAAUUAGCCUGCCGGUGUUUGGUGGGAUCACAGGUGUGAUAACUAUCUACGCUUGUGGUUUUCCACCAGGUAACCCUCAGCAAUGGAGGUUCACUGGAGCUUAUAAAUGUCUCUCCCCAGCGAGGACAGAUUUCGACC
Molecule: unclassified non-coding RNA, 218 nt
Filed under: Thelephoraceae sp. 'Taylor #6'
Lineage: Eukaryota; Fungi; Basidiomycota; Agaricomycetes; Thelephorales; Thelephoraceae
Description: ITS2
Source: RNAcentral